This 488-nucleotide long non-coding RNA is filed under the name Homo sapiens (human). RNAcentral describes it as "HSALNT0386425". Lineage: Eukaryota; Metazoa; Chordata; Mammalia; Primates; Hominidae. The record is from RNAcentral.
AACAUGUUUCGGCGUCCUUCCACACUGUCGCGGCUUAUGUUGUUUUGCUGUUUGGGUUUGCACUGUCUUUUUGAGCUGUAACACAGCAAAGGUUUGCAGUUUCGCUCCUGAAAUCAUCGAGACCACAAACCCACCGGGAAGAACGAACAACUCCAGACGCACCGCUUUAAGAGCUGUAAUACUCGUUAGGAAGGUGUGCAGCUUGACUCCUGAGUCAGCGAGACCAUGAACCCAUCAGAAGGAAAAAACUCCGAACAUCAGAAGGAACAAGUUUCAGACACGCCACCUUUAAGAACUGUGAUACUCACCGCGAGGGCCCGCGGCUUCAUUCUUGAAGUCCGUGAGACCAAGAACCUACCAAUUCCGAAUACGUUGGGUUCAAGUGGUUCUCCUGCCUCAGACUCCCGAAUACCUGGGACUACAGGCACCCACCACGCCCGGGAAAUUGGCAACUGAUGAAGGGAAGUGUAUCAGUCCGUUUUCAUGCU